Long non-coding RNA from Cervus elaphus (red deer), 2033 nucleotides. RefSeq lists it as uncharacterized. The record is from RefSeq and is a predicted model, not a curated record. The transcript has 2 exons. Lineage: Eukaryota; Metazoa; Chordata; Mammalia; Artiodactyla; Cervidae.
CGUAAUACCACCUGGGUUUGCAGGUUUAACAACUGUCUACUCUUUUAGCUUAUUGUAUGAUGGUAUAAUUUUUUGAAAUUGUGGUGAAAUACACUUAACAUAUCUUUUUAUGAUGGUAUCCAUUUUAGGUAACAUAUUUCCCUGGAAGAAGGUAAUCUUUGAAAAGAACUUUGUUCCUGGCCUUAGGUUCUUCAGCUCCUAGGGCUUCUGUUCUUUUUACUCCACUCCAGUGGUUGUCAAGGCAUCAGUGUCCCCUGGGAACUGAUGAGAAAUAUAAAUUCUUAGGUGCCCCUCCAGACCUACUGAGUGAGAAAUUUGGGGGGCAGAGCCCAACAGUCAAUUGACAGGUGAUUCUGAUGCAGGUGAAAGUUUGAGAACUGCUGCUCUGCCCAGUCUUACCGGUUUUUUGCACUGGUCAUUUUUAGAACUAAACUCUCCUCUAGCCCCUACUUUUCUUCUGGUUGUGUACCCUGACUUUCAGCGGCCCACUGGAAUCUCUGCUUAGAGCCCCGCAGCCAUCUCACACUGAGCAUUCCUUUCUUGCUCCUGUGUUUCUUCUGUGGAGCAUCACUGUCCUUCUUCUCACCCAGGCUUGGCCCAAGCACUUUUCUCGUGGAUUUUGACUGAAAUUCACAACUGAUCAAACACUCUGUUGUUUCCCUCUUCAUUCUACUGCUUCUGACACGGUGCAGAUCAGUUUCAACUGGGCUUUUCUAGUAAUUUCUUUACCCUUGGGCUUUCUCCUGUUCAGUUAUUUCUUCACAGUGCUUACUAGGCUUAUUCUUACAUAGAGUUCUGAGCAUGUUACAUGCUUAUUGAUGUCCCAGUGGUUCCCUUUUGUCUGCAGUUAAAUCUAAACACCUUGGAAGAAUGCCUGGCCCCUUUUGUCUGCGUUUAAAUCUAAAUACCUUGGAUGAAUGCCUUGCUUUUUUUCUAGCCUAUCUACUAUUAGGUUGGUGCAACAGUAAUCACAGUUUUUGCAUUGUUGAAAUUGGCCAUUUGAUAAACUGGAAUACAUUCUAAAUAAAUGUGGUGGAUACUUGAUACAUCAUUUUAAUGUGCGUUUCUUGCUUUGUGUUUUUUUGUUUGCUGUUUAUAUUUAUUUUAGACUAUGGAAAUGAUGUUAGACAAAAAGCAAAUUCAAGUGAUUUUCUUAUUUGAGUUCAAAAUGGGUUGUAAAGCAGCGGAGACAAUUUGCAACACCAGCAACACAUUUGACCCAGGAACUGCUAACAAAUGUACAGUGCAGUAGUGGUUCAAGACGUUUUGCAAAGAGGAUGAGAGCCUAGAAGAUGAGCCUACUGGUCAGCCAUCGGAAGUUGACAAUGACGACUGAGAGCCAUCAUCAAGGCAGAUCUUCUUACGACUACAUGAGAAGUUGCUGAAGAACUCAGUGUCGACCAUUCUGUGGUCAUUCAGCAUAUGAAGCAAAUUGGAAAGCAGCAGCGAGCCACUUCUUGAUCAGAUUGUGACAUACGGCAACAAGUGGAUUGUAAACGACCAGCUUGGUGGUUGGACUGAGCAGACACUCCAAAGCACUUCCCAAGGCCAAACUUGCUCCAAAAAAAGGUCACGGUCACUGUUUGGUGGUCUGCUGCCCAUCUGAGCCACUUGAGCUUUCUGAAUCCCAGCGAAACCAUUACAUCUGAGAAGUAUGCCCAGCAAGUUGAUAAAACAAUGCCGGCAGCCAGUAUGGGUCAACAGAAAGGGCCCAGUUCUUCUCCACAACAACACCUGACCACACUUGGCACAACCAAUGCUUCAAAAGUUGAACGAGUUGUCUAUGAACUUUUGCCUCAUCCACCAUAUUCACCUGACCUCUCGCCAACCAGCUACCACCCGACAAGCAUCUUGACAGCUGUUUGCAGGGAAAAUGCUUCCACAACCAACAGGAUGCAGAAAAUGCCUUCCGAGAGUUUGUUGAAUCCUGAAGCACUGAUUUUUAUGCUAUAGGAAUAAACUUAUUUCUUGUUGGCAAAAAUGUGUUGAUUAUAAUGGUUCUUAUUUGAUUAAUAAAGGUGUGUUUGAGCCUA